Molecule: long non-coding RNA, 999 nt
Organism: Pezoporus occidentalis (night parrot)
Lineage: Eukaryota; Metazoa; Chordata; Aves; Psittaciformes; Psittacidae
Exons: 3
Source: RefSeq, a predicted model, not a curated record
GUAAAAGGCCUAUGGGAUCCACUCCUGAUUUAGAGGAACAGUGGAUCAAAAGCGGAAGGUGACAAUUCCUAAGGGAUUGCCUCCUGUGAAAGCGGAUGUAUUUCACGGUAAGACUCACUCAGGAGGCACAUUUCUCCCUCUUACAUAUGUUUCAUACUUCCACUUUUAUUGGAAGUACUGAGCAGUGCAAAAAUUCAGAUGUGGGACUUGAGCAGACAGUGACAGUUCAGAAGGAAGUCCUGCUAUUCUGUGAUGAUGCAGUUUGUCUAGAGUUUUGGCAGCUACUGCCACCCCAUGGUUUCCCACAAGGGACGAAUGCUGCAGAGCUUUUAAACGUUGCGUUUCUCCAGAAACCUCUCACAGGUCAGAGAGAAGACAACAAACACUCAUUUUUGUCUUACCCCCUUCUUCCCUAUGUCCCCUUUUCAGUAAAAGCCCCUCUGCAAAUAAAAGCAAGUAUGGCAUGAGCAGCAUUGCUUUGGUUUAGCACGGAUGAGUCCCUUCCACUGGAUUUACAACUGUGUAAUUGAAUAUUAAUUUUGGCUCCCGGGAGUUUUCACUGAUUAUAUCUGCAUUGGCAGGAAGUAUUUUGCAUUCUUUAUUUAUUUUUUUUUUUUUCCAGGAACUUCAAAACACAUAUCUGGAGAAAGCUUUUGAAACCCAUUUCUUACAGUUGCUGCUGCUUUGGGAGUUUUUGUUUACAUCAUGGAUGCCACAUACAGACAGAUCUGGGUUAAAGCAAGCUGGUCUGAGUGGUGUCCUCUGAGUGUUGCUUCCAGCAGAGCUUUGCCCUCCAGUGCCUCAGCAGGUACUCAGUUGAAGGUUCUGACAUGGAAGGGGGACAUUUCAGGUAUUGUUACUCCACACAUUACUUCAUGCCAGGGAAUACCCUUGGUGUGGAGGAAGAGUUUGCUUUUUAAGAAGAGGCAAGAGAGACCUCAUUUUUGUGUAUCUUCUUGCUGGAGUUGGAAGCUUCUUUCCCUUGGACCAACCCAGCUG